CCUCGGGUUGCUCCAGUGAGGAAUAUUGCGCAAUGGGGGAAACCCUGACGCAGCGACGCCGCGUGGAUGAUGAAGGCCUUCGGGUCGUAAAAUCCUGUCAGAAGGAAAGAAGUGUAUGGUAGCUAAUAUCUGCCAUACUUGACGGUACCUUCAAAGGAAGCACCGGCUAACUCCGUGCCAGCAGCCGCGGUAAUACGGAGGGUGCAAGCGUUGUUCGGAAUUACUGGGCGUAAAGCGCGCGUAGGCGGUUUUAUAAGUCAGAUGUGAAAGUCCACGGCUCAACCAUGGAAGUGCAUUUGAAACUGUAAGUCUUGAGUAUUGGAGGGGGUAGUGGAAUUCCCGGUGUAGAGGUGAAAUUCGUAGAUAUCGGGAGGAAUACCGGUGGCGAAGGCGACUAUCUGGCCAAAUACUGACGCUGAGGUGCGAAAGCGUGGGGAGCAAACAGGAUUAGAUACCCCCGUAGUC
This 465-nucleotide ribosomal RNA is filed under the name uncultured bacterium. Its description in RNAcentral is "partial 16S ribosomal RNA". It matches the Rfam family "Bacterial small subunit ribosomal RNA", at positions 339 to 795 of the family's 1533-position model. The record is from RNAcentral.